AUUGAACGCUGGCGGCAUGCCUUACACAUGCAAGUCGAACGGCAGCAUGGAGAGCUUGCUCUCUGGUGGCGAGUGGCGAACGGGUGAGUAAUGCAUCGGAACGUACCGUGUAAUGGGGGAUAACGUAGCGAAAGUUACGCUAAUACCGCAUACGACCUGAGGGUGAAAGCAGGGGAUCGCAAGACCUUGCGUUAUACGAGCGGCCGAUGACAGAUUAGCUAGUUGGUGAGGUAAGGGCUCACCAAGGCGACGAUCUGUAGCGGGUCUGAGAGGAUGAUCCGCCACACUGGGACUGAGACACGGCCCAGACUCCUACGGGAGGCAGCAGUGGGGAAUUUUGGACAGUGGGGGCAACCCUGAUCCAGCCAUGCCGCGUGAGUGAAGAAGGCCUUCGGGUUGUAAAGCUCUUUCGGCCGGGAAGAAAUCGCACAGGCUAAUACUCUGUGUGGAUGACGGUACCGGCAUAAGAAGCACCGGCUAACUACGUGCCAGCAGCCGCAGUAA
RNAcentral lists this ribosomal RNA (504 nucleotides) under uncultured bacterium. Its description in RNAcentral is "partial 16S ribosomal RNA". It matches the Rfam family "Bacterial small subunit ribosomal RNA", at positions 30 to 523 of the family's 1533-position model. The record is from RNAcentral.